RNAcentral lists this ribosomal RNA (501 nucleotides) under uncultured Actinomycetes bacterium. Its description in RNAcentral is "bacterial SSU rRNA". It matches the Rfam family "Bacterial small subunit ribosomal RNA", at positions 355 to 844 of the family's 1533-position model. Lineage: Bacteria; Bacillati; Actinomycetota; Actinomycetes. The record is from RNAcentral.
UGGGGAAUCUUGCGCAAUGCGCGAAAGCGUGACGCAGCAACGCCGCGUGGGGGAAGAAGGCCUUCGGGUUGUAAACCCCUUUCAGUUGGGACGAAGCUUCCUCGGUGAAUAGCCGUGUGGAGUGACGGUACCUUCACAAGAAGCCCCGGCUAACUACGUGCCAGCAGCCGCGGUAAUACGUAGGGGGCUAGCGUUGUCCGGAAUCAUUGGGCGUAAAGCGCGUGUAGGCGGCCCGGUAAGUCCGCUGUGAAAGUCGGGGGCUCAACCCUCGGAUGCCGGUGGAUACUGUCGGGCUAGAGUGCGGAAGAGGCGAGUGGAAUUCCUGGUGUAGCGGUGAAAUGCGCAGAUAUCAGGAGGAACACCAAUUGCGAAGGCAGCUCGCUGGGACGUGACUGACGCUGAGACGCGAAAGCGUGGGGAGCGAAACAGGAUUAGAUACCCGUGGUACGUCCACGCCGUAAACGAUGAGUGCUAAGUGUUAGAGGGUUUCCGCCCUUUAGU